RNAcentral lists this ribosomal RNA (254 nucleotides) under uncultured bacterium. RNAcentral's name for it is "partial 16S ribosomal RNA". It matches the Rfam family "Bacterial small subunit ribosomal RNA", at positions 524 to 776 of the family's 1533-position model. The record is from RNAcentral.
UACGUAGGGUGCGAGCGUUGUCCGGAAUUAUUGGGCGUAAAGAGCUUGUAGGUGGUUUGUCGCGUCUGCUGUGAAAAUCCGAGGCUCAACCUCGGACUUGCAGUGGGUACGGGCAGACUAGAGUGUGGUAGGGGAGACUGGAAUUCCUGGUGUAGCGGUGGAAUGCGCAGAUAUCAGGAGGAACACCGAUGGCGAAGGCAGGUCUCUGGGCCAUUACUGACACUGAGAAGCAGAAAGCAUGGGGAGCGAACAGG